GCUGUAAAAGCUAUCGCGUUUCUUUGAAACGAGGAAAGUCCGGACAGCACAGAGCAUCGCACCGGUGAAGAGCCGGGUCCUGAUUCAUCAGGAACAGACAGUGCCACAGAAAAUAACCGUCCGCCGAAGGCGGAUAAGGGUGAAAACGUGAGGUAAGAGCUCACGGCAAUCUCCAGUAAUGGUGAUUGGGGGUAAACCUUGCGUGCUGAAAUGCCACAUAGGUUCUGGUAACGAAAGUUGGAGAAUGACUCGUUCUCUCUGAAAAGGCCGGAAUGGGUAGGCAGCUUGAUUCUUUUGGGCAACCUGAAGAACAGAUAAAUGAUAGCAUGACACAGAAUCCGGCUUAUUUAAACAGCAAAA
Molecule: RNase P RNA, 360 nt
Filed under: Bacteroidota bacterium
Lineage: Bacteria; Pseudomonadati; Bacteroidota
Description: Bacteroidetes bacterium (freshwater metagenome) RNase P RNA component class A
Rfam family: Bacterial RNase P class A
About the family: Ribonuclease P (RNase P) is a ubiquitous endoribonuclease, found in archaea, bacteria and eukarya as well as chloroplasts and mitochondria. Its best characterised activity is the generation of mature 5'-ends of tRNAs by cleaving the 5'-leader elements of precursor-tRNAs.
Source: RNAcentral